UUUGGGCUGGGGUACUCUGCUCUCCAUCCAGGUGGUAGAGGUGCAUGGCGCCAGGGCCUCGCUGAGCCCCUGCCCCAGCCUCCACGGCCCCCCCGGACCCUCUCCCACCAUCCCCUCUCUCCGCAGGCCCCGAGUACCAGAAGCGGAGGCUGCUGCAGGAGAUCAUAGAGAACACGGAGCACACCAUCAACAUGGAGGAGGCAGCGCCGCCGCCACGGCCCGAGGGUGCCCCGCCGCCCCCCACGCCCCCCGAGAGCCCCCAGCUGCACGAGGAGGACGCGGUCCCCCGCCGCCGCCACAGCCCGGCCCCCAGCCCCGCCGCCACCCCGCCAGAGGCCAAGCGGGCCAAGGCGGCCGCCCGGCAGGACGGAGGCCUGCGGCCGGGCAGCUGGGGCGAGGCGGGCGGCGGGGCCGCCGAUGGUGAGGCCAGGCCGGCCUCACGGGGCGCGGGGAGGCCGGCAGAGCAGAUGGAGAUCGGGCCGCUGCAGCGCAUGGCGCGUGAGCCCGACGUCGAGCUCUUCAAGGGCUACCACAGCUACGCCGUCAGGACCUCCUCGGUCUCCCCCACCACAGACUAUGAGGAGGAGCCGUUCCCCGAGCACCACAGGCCACCCUCCCCGGAGAGCCGGGGGGAGCCCCAGCGUCACGGGGGCACCCCGGUCCCACCACGGGAGCCGGAGGAGAAGCCGGCGCCGCGAGCGGAGGCCAAGGCAGAGCAGCCGCGGCCGAAGGAGGCCCAGCCGCGGCCGAAGGAGGCCCAGCCACGGCCCAAGGAGGUGAAACAGCGCCCCAGCCCCGAGCGCAGGGUGGCGGGCAGGAACGAGCCCGCUGACAGAAAGACUGAGGGCCGGGCACCAGGGAGGACGGAGCACAAGGCGGGGGCCAAGCGGAGCCCGGCCCCGCUGCCGCCGGAUGCAGAGGAGUGCGACGAGGUGAUGUGUGGCACAUUUCGGGGCAAGGCGGGACACUCCGGGGACAGCAGCAGCUCUGUUGCCUUUUCUGUCACAGGAAUUGCGUUGUUUUUUUUUCCCCCUGCUUAUUCUUUCCCCAGGAUACCCAAAGGG
Molecule: long non-coding RNA, 1064 nt
Filed under: Anas platyrhynchos platyrhynchos (common mallard)
Lineage: Eukaryota; Metazoa; Chordata; Aves; Anseriformes; Anatidae
Description: lncRNA (ENSAPLG00000026422.1)
Source: RNAcentral